AGAAACUCUACCUUAAGAGGUACAAACUCACUUGAAGAAAUGUGGUAACUAGAUAUUUCUAUGGAAAUUAGAACAGUUACAUGGCUAAUCAAUUCAGCAUGAAGUAAUAGUUCAUGGAAGACUAGAGCCUUGUGCAUCAGGAGCCACACAAGAACUUUAAGACUCCAAUGUAAAACCUAUUGGCAUGAGUUUGCUAUGUCUCUAGAGUUUAAUAUGGGAAAUGAGAAUUAAUUAAGAGGCAAAGUAUGAAGCUUAGCAGACACUAAAGAAGGAUGUUUGAAGUUAAAUGAGCCUGUCAUGCAAGUCACAGAAAGGAAACCCUCUAGAGACUUCAACUGCUACGAAGACCGAUGAUAAACAGAUCUGUGGCCUCUGGUAAAGAAAUUCAGUCAAGGUUUUGAGUCCAAAUUUUUAAAUGGCCUUUGCAAGCUAUCUAUUUGGUAAAAAAUAUUCCUAGUUGUUCAAUCAGCUCUUAAAACAUUCUUAUAGCUAUUUUAAAGCCUUGGUAUCAUUUCCAAGCCUCUGGUGUUCUAUUCUUGAUGAACACAAGGCAAAAACCUGGAGACUUCAACUUUGACACUUGCUUCUGUUUCUUAUAUCUUUGAAAAUCUGAUAACCCUCCUCAAAAAAUGAGAAGACAGGCUUUAAAUAGCAAAGAUAUAGGGCACUGGAAGAACUGACUCUUCAGUUAACACUUAGAAACAGAAGACCUCAAUUGAAGACUACCUUUUAACUACCCUCAAGCCCAAGCAGAAGAUUCUGAGGAGGGUAUGCGCCUGUGUCAUGCUGUCUAACUGGAGUAAUUUCCUAGAAUUCUUACCCUGGGAAGCAGUUUAUUAUUUUGAACCCAAUAGAAGUUGGAAUUCUUGGUUUUAAUGGUGGGGAAGCUCUUAAAACACAUCUACACUUUUGCUGUAACAACUUACAUCCAAGAAUGAGGAAUACAACCUGUUAGUCUUUAUCACUCAUUUGGGGCCCUCAGCUUCAAUGGACCUAAAUUGUGGAAGUUCUGGAAAACAUAAAAAUUGAUCUUCACAACAACCUGAAUAGGUAAGUAUUAUCUCCAAUUUGUAGAUACGAAAACUGAGGCGGCUAAUAACGGGUGAUUCCAAACCCUGUGUGCUUACUGGCACUCCUCUCAGACAAAGAGGCAGUGCUGUGUGAAGGUUAAGUUGAAUGUCACAUUGUGUGUUUGCUGAGUUUCCUUUACUAAUGACCUUGGAUGCUUCCGCAGUUUCUCAGACACCCAUAGUAACUGGCUUCCAAUAUGGCAGCACCAGGAGGGUAUAACAAUAGCACCUCCAUGUCAGGUUGGCACAGGAUAAAUGUUUGUUCGGUGCCAGGCCUACAAGAUGCUAAAAGUUCCAGAAUUAUUUUCCUUGCCCAUGGGAAGUAGAGUAUAUCACUGGAUUAUAAGGUGAAAGAUAAAGAGUCCCCAAAGGAAUAUAUAAACAUGCAACAUCAUUCCUGUGUGUGAAGACAUGGGGGAAAACAAACUAUAACACAACAUAUCUUAAAUAUUAAGGUUCUCAUAAGGAGAUACCUGCCCAAGAAGACAGAAAGAACUGUGACUUGAGUCUAUGGAUAGAUGAUGCAAUACCUAACCCUGGGUCUCAGGUAUUCUGGAAUCUACCCAUGAGACCUGGGCAUUGCUCACAUUUCACACAAGCACAGAGGGGAAAGAACUCUUCGAAUGAAAUGACUGGCUUUGACAAAACUCUCUUGUUUUUUAAAAAUGUCACUUGAUACCAAAAUACGACUUAAGAGUAUGUAAGGCCUCAGAAGUCCAGAGCGUACAACCAGUUAUCAUGCUCAGGAUCUUCAGAAUUCUAGAGGCACAUGUUGGAACACAUCCCAUCCUGCUGACCUGUAGAUAAAUAUUUCUUUUAUUAAUAAACUGUACAUGUAACUUAAAUUAAGUUUAUUUUUGAG
This is a long non-coding RNA of Bos taurus (domestic cattle), 1932 nucleotides long. NCBI's taxonomy places the organism in Eukaryota, Metazoa, Chordata, Mammalia, Artiodactyla, Bovidae. The record is from Ensembl.